CUCCCUCCCUCUUCCCCCUUCCCCUCUCCCUGCAGCCGCGUCCACACUGCGCCGCCCGGGCAGCCCAGAGCGCGGCGCGCACGGGCACCGGCGGCGAGUGCCGCGGCCACUGCCCCUCCCGGGACCCCCUGUACGCCGUCCGCGCCGUCCAGGGUCACACCGGCGACGGAACCCGCCGGCAGCAAUUAGCCAGCAUCCCGGGGUCGGCCCCCAGAAGCAUUCCCCGGCCCAGGACGAGGAUGAACAGGACAGGCGAGGCACAAAGUCGCAACUGAACUUUUUAGAAACAUUAUUUGUGUGUGUAUGUGUGUAGCAGGGGAGAAUGAGCUGAUGCCGAGGGUCCAGCCACCCCGCCUCUGCCUCCUCCUCCCCCUGCCGCCGCUGCCCUCGCAGACGCGCGCGCACACACGGCACUUGGGCCGGGUUUCCGCGCUCCGUCCCCCCGUUUGGAUGGGGGUUUUCAUUUCCGAAGGAGGCACAGCCCGCGGAGCGCUCUGAAGGGCUGGAGCCCCAAGUUACUCCUCGCCAGCGCCGGCCGCCCGCUGUCACUCGCGCUGGCCGGCCGGGGGAAGGGACCCGCACGCCGGGCUUUGUUGUGGAAAUCCCGGUUACCUGGUCCCUUAUUUCGCGUGAGUCUUUGGCGUCCACGACCUUGAGUCUGACGGAAAGUCAGUCGGCCUCAAGCAUGCUGGCCACAGGACCCAGUGCAGCCCUGCUUCCCGCACCGUGGGUCUUUCCUGAUAGCUGCAGGCUUGAGAUUGCAGCCUCAGGAUAGGACACGUUCAGAUGCCUUCCAGACUACACACACUAUGCUUAGAUUCGAGAGUCUUUCCUGACCUUAAAAUUUGUCCCUUGCUUACUUUCACACUGCAGAAGAUUUAUAUAUAUAUUCAUCAUUAUUUUUGCAGCAGUACAAGUGGAAACUUCAAAAAAAUCAUUCCCUUUCAUGUCCUGGUCUUUUUAAGUCUUGAUAUGUAACCAUUUUCAUAAAUGUCCAAACAGAGAUUGUCAUUCCCCUUAAAAACAGAAACAAAACACAAAACUAGUGCUUGUGAAAACACACAGCGCAAAGACAAUUAUCCUAUUGCAUUAAAAAAAAAAUCAGUCUGCCUAGAGACAUUUCAUUGGCUGCAUUGUCUUAAUUCCCUAACGAAACUGCAUCAAAAUGUCAGUUGUAAUUUAGCCUCUGAUCAGCUGUUAAAUAUUAUUUAAAUAUUUACAGGUCCUGUGGGGUAUCUCCCAUUACCCAUGUCGCCCUCAAAUUACAUAAGCGAUCAUAAAAUAAGAAGAAAAAAAAAGGUCUUUAGUAGAUCACAGCAGAGUUACCACUGAUAAGAGUGUUGGCUUUGUUCAGUUGUUUCUAAAUUACCAGCCGUCAAGCACAGUAGCCCCUAAAACCAAUUUUGAGCAAGGAUAAAUUCAACUCCCUCAUCUGAGAACCUUGACUUUCCAGUUGCCUUGAAGUAUUGGGAAUAGUAACUGUACAUUUUCAAUUUAAUUAUUUGGUAUUUUAUUUGACUGUCUUGGCCAUGUCAUUUUAUGGAAGCAUUUUUAAAUAGCACUUUUUGUUAGUGGUGUGGAAUUUCUGCGGUUAUUAUUUUUUUUUUUUUUUGCAACAGAUGAAGCAAAAAAAAAAAAGCACUCAUUGGAGAAAUAGUGAGUGUAAAAAGAGAUUUAUUUUGUACAGACAGCAAAGUAUCCUGUGUAAUGUUGCUGACAUAAAGCACUUUGGGGGAAAAAAGUGGAAAUCUGUUUUCCAUAAAUCACACAGACUCUUGUACAUAGUUAUAUACACUCACGUAGAGAAAUGAACUGCAUAUAUCAUACUGGAUAUGGGGCCGAUUUUACUCUAGAGGCACAUCUGGUGCUUAUUGUCAUAAAUCUUUUAAAGAAUUAGGUACACUUUUUUCUAUUAAUAUGUAUAGUUUUGUGAUUUGUCACAGUUAUGUUUCAUAUAAUCAUAAGUUAUUUUGUCUUGUUCAUGAAGUCCUUUUUUUAUGUCAAAAGUAAAAUGAAGGGAUUGUGCACUUGGUACAGAAUAAAACUGGAAAUAGAGAAGACGCCCUCCUGCCUAAAAUCCUCCUUCAGCCUGUCGGUUUAAAACACAAUGGCAACCAUCAUUGUUUGUUUGUUUGUUUUUUUGUUUUGUUUUACCAUCAGCCUCUUACAUACUGGGAAUGGUAAUUAUAAUUAAAGGCAGAUGAUGCGGGAGGGAAUGUUCAAGUCCAGCUUUAAAAUGCUGCAUUGCUUUGGGCCAGAGCUGUAGCCUGGAUUUAAUUAUAGAUAUGAGGAGGAAAUGGCAGUAAAAAUGAAUGUCUCCCUGAGUCCUUUACAUGUUGGGAGUGUCCAUAAAUAAAACAUGAAGUUUUAUUUCAUCAGAUUUAAUUAAAGCUUUUAUACAUGUUU
Molecule: long non-coding RNA, 2406 nt
Filed under: Homo sapiens (human)
Lineage: Eukaryota; Metazoa; Chordata; Mammalia; Primates; Hominidae
Description: non-protein coding lnc-GLIS3-2:2
Source: RNAcentral